This 219-nucleotide long non-coding RNA is filed under the name Lathyrus oleraceus (garden pea). Its description in RNAcentral is "Pisum sativum (pea) long non-coding RNA (PSAT_LNC013805)". Lineage: Eukaryota; Viridiplantae; Streptophyta; Magnoliopsida; Fabales; Fabaceae. The record is from RNAcentral.
AUGCGUGGGCUUCGCCUAGCGAGCAUGACAGUUCAAGAAAUUCCUCUGAGCGUAGGUGAUUUUGGUGGCUUUUCUUGGGACUCGCUAGACGACCCAUUCUGCUCGCCUAGCGAGCAUGACAGCUCAUGAACAAACUUUUGCUCCUUCAAGAUUAACGUUUUGACUGAUGAAUAGACCCCAUUUGAACAUGUUGGAAGUAUCUCAAGCCAUUCCCUUGUG